Molecule: long non-coding RNA, 1049 nt
Filed under: Carassius auratus (goldfish)
Lineage: Eukaryota; Metazoa; Chordata; Actinopteri; Cypriniformes; Cyprinidae
Description: lncRNA (ENSCARG00000009727.1)
Source: RNAcentral
CAAAAAAAGGACAAAAAUUAGAAAAAUAAAAACCAAAAAAUAACAUUUUUAUAAUAUUUGUGAAUAAAUAUAUAACUUUAAUAUCUUUGUUUUAUUAAAAUUUUCAUUUUGUUACCCACACACACGCACACACACACGCACACACACACGCACACACACACACGCACACACACGCACACGCACACACACACACAUAUACACACACACACAAUGCUAAGAUACAAACUUGAGGACAGAAAUGACUCCUUUAACACCCAUGUAACGUCCAGAAGGACUGUCUGAGGUGUGUUCAGAGGUUCUCCAGUGCAUCCGAAUAAAUGAAACACACACGGGGUACUGCAUCAUCACUCAUCUGGUUACCGUGACGACCGAUCGUCUGUCAUCUUCAAGCGCAGCGCGUGUCGAGGGCCGUCCACACCCACCAAAUUACAUCCUGAGAGCUCGAGCAGAGGACGCUUUUUCUGUGCUGAAAACAACAUUUACACACACACACACACACACUCUUCAGCUGCCAACAAAGAGCUUUUCAUCACACACACACACACACACACACAGAUGGAGGAACGGGUGCAGGGCAAACAGAACAAUACGCACUGAUCCAGUGUCACAGCGCAGGUCAGACUUCUAUAGUCAGGAAAGAUGAUCACUUGCUCUGUUCGCUCUUGGCUUUCCUAAAUGGGAAUGCUAUGGAAUACUGUUUCCUUUUAAAGGAACGGUUCACCCAAAAAUGAACAUUUGCUGAAGGCUUCCUCACCCUCAGGCCAUCUGAGAUGUAGAUGAGUCUGUUUCUUUAUCAGAUUUGGAGAAGUGUAGCAUUGCAUCACUUGCUCGCCCAUGUUUGAAGAAACGUCUUGAUGGAUUUAUUUUCUUAUAAAACAUUUUUUUUGUCAUUAACUGAUGGACUGGAGUGGUGUGGGUUUUUAUCAGCAGUUUGGACUCUCAUUUUGACGGCACCCAUUCGCUAUUGCAGAGCAAGUUAUGCAAUGCUACAUUACUUCAACGUUGUUCCAACGUUGAGGAAACAAGCAUUGCACAAACAACAUUUGUGA